GAUGAACGCUGGCGGCGUGCUUAACACAUGCAAGUCGAACGGAAAGGCCCAAGCUUGCUUGGGUACUCGAGUGGCGAACGGGUGAGUAACACGUGGGUGAUCUGCCCUGCACUUCGGGAUAAGCCUGGGAAACUGGGUCUAAUACCGGAUAGGACCACUUCUUGGAUGUUGUGGUGGAAAGUUUUUUCGGUGUGGGAUGAGCUCGCGGCCUAUCAGCUUGUUGGUGGGGUAAUGGCCUACCAAGGCGUCGACGGGUAGCCGGCCUGAGAGGGUGUACGGCCACAUUGGGACUGAGAUACGGCCCAGAAGCCGACGGGAGGCAGCAGUGGGGAAUAUUGCACAAUGGGCGCAAGCCUGAUGCAGCGACGCCGCGUGGGGGAUGACGGCCUUCGGGUUGUAAACUCCUUUCGCUAGGGACGAAGCGUUUUGUGACGGUACCUGGAGAAGAAGCACCGGCUAACUACGUG
RNAcentral lists this ribosomal RNA (467 nucleotides) under uncultured bacterium. RNAcentral's name for it is "partial 16S ribosomal RNA". It matches the Rfam family "Bacterial small subunit ribosomal RNA", at positions 28 to 507 of the family's 1533-position model. The record is from RNAcentral.